GUAGUAUGACUAGUCUUUUGACCUGCGAUGCCAUAGCUGCUCACAGUGAGACUGCUGAAGUUUGACUAUACAUAAAUAUGGUCUCAAUGAAUUCAUAUAGUAGAUGUUGAUGAUAGUUGAUCCACUGUAGAAGUAGGAUGCACAUCUAGAUGGAAUAUAUCGAUCCUAGCAGAAGAGAGUAAUCCUAUAGAAUUUGAAAG
Molecule: long non-coding RNA, 200 nt
Filed under: Elaeis guineensis (African oil palm)
Lineage: Eukaryota; Viridiplantae; Streptophyta; Magnoliopsida; Arecales; Arecaceae
Description: long non-coding RNA (EGUI_LNC041479)
Source: RNAcentral